Molecule: long non-coding RNA, 6869 nt
Organism: Manis javanica (Malayan pangolin)
Lineage: Eukaryota; Metazoa; Chordata; Mammalia; Pholidota; Manidae
Source: RefSeq, a predicted model, not a curated record
AUAAAGAACUUCUCAAAUGUGUCUAGAUAAUUAUGAGGCUGCAUUUUAUAUAGCUCCUGUACCACAGUAGGCUGCAAGGCCUAGUAUAAUCUUUACCUCUGGAGCCCAAGAUUGUACCAUGUUCACAUGUGAGGCACCAUGUGACACAUGUUAAAUGUACAGCAAUUCCGUGGUUGCAAAUGCAUACAUAUGGAAAUUAUCUAUCAGCUUCCUAUAAUAUCAGUUGCUAGGACCAACACAAAUUACUUUCUCCCAUUGGAAAUUUUAAGGAUAAUGCUCUGUAAUGGAUGGAUGGAUAGUAGAUAGAUAGAUAGAUAGAUAGAUAGAUAGAUAGAUAGAUAGAUAGAUAGAUAGAUAGAUAGAUAGAUAGAUAGAUAGAUAGAUAAAUGGGCUAUGAUUUCAACUUGUAGGAAGUGAAAUGGGUAACAAUCCCUGGAGAGUUGGAAUGUCCAGAAGGACUCUUGCCAUCAGCAGAACAGUUGCAUCUAACCUUGGGGGGCAGGAUUGUGGUGACUUUCAGCCCCUUCCACAGUUUUCCCAUCAAAACAGAAAAUCAGAAACCAAAUGUGGUUCUGAGGUUCCUUGCCACAAUUUCAACCUACCAAACAGCAUCCAAAUAAUCCUGUUUUUAAAAACUGUAGAUAUCUAUGUGUAAAUAUGAAUCUGAGCAUCUGUGGGUUUUCCUUAAAAAUGCAAAGAAAGGCCGAUUUUGGAAUCUCUAGGGUUGUGAAUUGAUUCUAGGAAAUAAUGCAGAACUAAUGCAAACUGGAGGAUUUCCCCCAUUGAUCACUGGUAUGUGUGUAUCCACACACAAGCAGUAGUAUCUGCACAUACACUGCACCUUAGUGCCCUUUUCCUAUUCAGCUCUCUAAUGUGAGUUUGAGUUGGUGUGCUCACAUCCUGGGACCUCCCGGACACCUCUGGGGCCCUUGGUCAUCUAAUAGCUGCUUCUCUCGGAUACCUAGGCAGUGAAUAUGCCGACAGCUGCCAGGAAAAUGGUCUGGUUCGCUUUAAACAUUGCUCUUCGUCAUUCUUCUCUACCCCCCAAUACAGUUGCCGGCUGUGAUCUGCUGCCUUUCAACUUGGAAUAAAAUACAUUACUUAUGCAGUGAAUGUUUUUAAUGUAACAAAGCAAAGGAAUAAAAAUGCCUUACAACAGUUUUAUUAAAAACAAAUUCCCACAGUAAAUACAUAUACACUCUGUUUCUGGGAGCAAAAUAGCCAAGGACUUCACUGCUAAGUGCUCUGGGAAGUGCUUAUAAAUUACUUGAAAUAAAAAACAUUGUUGCCUGGACAUCAGGGAUGAAAUGCUGCAGUUUGUAAUAAAUUAACACAGAACUUUACUUCCCCUCCUCGAACAAAGCAGCCAUUUGUCUGAAUAACCCACAUUCAGCUGUGAGUUAUAUUUUCACAACCUCAACUGCAUUCAUUUGCAAAUUAUUCUGCAGUUUUAAUGCUCAAGUUUUAAAUACCUUAAGAACUAAUAAAUAAAGCAAAGUAGAGCAAACAGUUGGCUUGUAGUUUAAAAACUGCCCUAAUUUCUGUUUUUCUUUUGGCUUUUUUCCUUUCCUCUUUUCCCUUUUUCUUUUUCUUCUUUUCUUCUUUUUUUUAUAAAUGGCAUAAAGUUUCUUUAAACUACAUUUUAAAAAUAGGAGGCUAAAAUGAAUUUGGGGGUAUUCACACCAGAGAGAAGUUUCCAUAAUUCCAUUAACUGUGAAGGUAUUUGGUAGUACUCAUUUUACAUUUUUAAGACUUUUCUUCUACCAAUACUUUAAUUUAGUGACAGAAUAAUUUAUAACUAUCUUUGAGGUUUUUCCCUUUGUGUGUAACUUUUGUCUGCUAGUCUUGGAAUUGGUUAGAUUUUUUUUCUCUCUCUCCCUCUACUAGACUUUGUCCAGAAAAAAAAAAUCUCAAAAGAAAAGUCGUGUCACUUCCCUUGAGUUAUUUUGAUUAUAAAACAAAAACUCUGCAAGAAAACUCUUUUCAAACCUGUUCUGUAAAACAAAACGAACCGCUUUCCAGGUUCUUGAAAGAAAAAUUUGAUAGAAGCACUUAUAGAUUCAAUUUGAGAUUUGAAGGUUAUUUUCCUGGCCUAAAGGGGGGGGGGUGCGGCGAAGGCCAGUUUCCUUGUGCAGAAUUACUGGCUUUGUUGGAUUUCUUUGCAUUGUUUUAAAUAAGGUCCUGUGUAGCCAGUUGCACCGGAUAAAAGUAAUGUCACCAUUUACAGGAAGUGGAUUUGGGGAGGAAAAGUCCUCAGAAGCAUGUUAUUUUCAGAAGAGUGCCUUAUAAAAUAUUUUUAUAAAGUAGGAGUUGAAAUCAUUUAAAAAUCACCCUCUUUUUAUAAAUCUGUUUGGAGAAAGCUCUUUUGAUCCCCUCUUUCUUCUGAUCCUCAUCUUUUAUUUUGCUUAGAGGUAAACAACGUUUGCCUCAUUUAAACAACGGCAUUUGCCAUUGUGGUUCUUAAAUAGUUUUCCAGUCACCCUAUGGCAAUUCAUCACAUGGGAUAAAAUGAGGAUACUUUGCAUCUAAGACUUUUAUCACCUCCCAGAAAAUGUUUGUUGUUUUUUGCUUUGGUUCUUUAUUCACUCCCACCCCUACCCCCACCCCGAGCUGCGGGGGAUUGUUUUAGGACAUUUCAAAGCCUUUUGUGGAGAGGGAACCCAAGUCCCUCUGUGGAGAGUAAGAAAUGUUGAUUACAUGCACUGUAAAAUGGGAGAUAUUCCCAAAUUUCCUUUUAAUUAAGACAUCUACAUAGCCAUUGCUCUGCAGAAAAAGAGAGAUUUCCAAACAUUUAAAAAAUACGGAAGCUUUUAGAACUGCAACAGAUACCCCGACCUCUCCUCGACCCUGGGGUGAGGUGGCUGUCACCUGGGGGGAGGUAAAUGGACAUUAGUAACUCCAUCAGAGUCACAUGGGGAGGGGCACCCAAAACAGAUGCAGAGGUAAUCACAGGACUACAGAGCUUUAAUACCGCCGUGGGCGUCAGUUAAGCGAAAGGCGCUUGUCUGGUUAGCCGGGUCAUUUCUGCAUAUGCACACAACCUUUGUCCUUUUAAAAAAUCACUCUGUGAUGACUGGUUUGAUUCUCUGACCAUCCAAGCCUGAUUAAGAGCAUUUGCUUAGGCCCUAAAGACUUCAUAGCUGGCCACCCAUCUGGUGUUAGGCUUGAGUCCGUGAAAAUCCCUCAGCUUAACACUGAAUAUUCUUUUUUAAGACGUUUAAGUAAAAGGGCUGACAUUAGCAUAUGUUCCCCCCAAGUGUCCUGUUGAACUUUCUGCCGGGCAUUUACCCUACGACGGGCUUUCUGGAUGUUGUCCAAUGAGAGAUUGGCUUGGAACUGUAAAAUUAGCCAUCUGCCUAUUAAAAAUGUAACCAGCUGCAUCCGAUGAAACACAGUGACUAUUGAAAUGAACUCAUCCGGGAGAGAACUCGCGUCCCCUGCUUGGACAUUUUUCCAACCUACUGCUGGACUGAGACACUCCACGAGCAAAGGCCCUCCGUCCUUGUUUGGAGGAAAACGGCAUGACUCAAGGGUGAAGAAGGCUGAGCGGAUAGCUCAACAAAUCAGGGCACUCUUCCUCACCUGUUACCCAGUGACUUUUUCAGGAACCAAGAGGUGGAUCUCACACAUCAUGACGAGUUAAGACACGCUCUUGAGUGUGGCUGAAGCAUGGAUUUCGAGUUCAGCGUUUCAAAACCAGAGUACCCUAGACAGCCUGCUGAAAAGAAGUCAGAGGCUCUCAAGCUCCCAGCGGGAAAACCUUGGAGCCCUGUUGUUGGAAAUAGCUCCCAACCUGCAUCUCAGGCAGGUAUUUUUAGGUUCUGUCUUGAAGACACAGAAACUUUCACACAUUUCAGCUUCUUUGUCUGGAGUCACUGCAACCCCAGACAUGUCAUUGAAAUGGGGUAUAAUUGUGGUCUCCUCCACCCACCAAUCUGAAUGAGUCUAAAAGAGCUUCCUGCUGUGCAGGAGAGAGCAUGGAGAGUCUUUUCUGGCAAGGGAAAGUCAAAAUGGAUUUUUUAAAAUAAUAAUAUGUUGAUCAAGAAGAGAAAAAAAUGUCUGUUGAGGAGAGGGGGCUUGGCAUUUGGGCUGAUAUGGAGGGGAAGGUUACCUAUUAUUUUGAAAUGUGGUCUUAGUUCUCUUUUGCAAGCUGCAGAUUUCAAGCUUGGAGGAGCUAAUGUCUCACAUUUGAAGUUAGAAAAUAAAGAUGCUUGGAAUCAGCUGAGUUGGAUCAAUGGCUGUUAUUAAUACGAGGCUUUCUGAGGAAUAAUUAUAAUUGUCAGUCACUGGGCAUAGCCUGACACUAAAAGGAGAAAUAGAAGAUAAAUCAAAAUGAUGCAGGGCAGAUAUAACUGGCAGGAGAAUUCUGCUAGAGCAGAGGAGCUGGGAGAAAGAACGUGUGAGUUUCCAAGAGCAUCUGGCCACCAUCUCACCAUGGGGCACAUCAACCAGAGUGACCCAGGGCCUGUGUUUUCAGGGAGCUCAGAGACAAUUGUCUCAAGGGCCAACUGAUCCCAGAUGUCCGAGUGGGCAUUAGGUCCCUACAGCUCACUUGACCAUGGGAAGCAACAUGAUUGAAUCACUCACAAUAAUGUGCCAAUUACCCCUGCCAUCCACGGGUCUGGAUACAAGACAACAAAGAGAAGCUGGCUGCAGUGAAGGGUAUGUGUGAAAUAGGUUUAAAUGGAUGAUGGGCCAUUUUCAUAGGAGUAAAAUAGUAAAGCAUUUGCCCACACAGUCUAGAAAGGAGAUCACCAAUCGUCAACUUUCUAAACUUAACUUGAUUGGAAAGCAAGUAACUUCCUACAGGAAUGGGAUUUAAGGAGGCUCAGGGGACCCUGCAUGAUGGCUUCUCCCAGUCCCGCAUCCAUCAGGAGGAAAUUGAUGAUCAAGAAAAAAAAAUUCUAUUCAGGGUGGAGGCUCUGAGUUUGGGCAAAUGAGUCCAACAGUUAUGCUUCUAAAAGAUUAUGCUGCCUUCUGAGGCUCAAUUAUUUAAUAUACAACAUUUAAUCCAGAGAUCACCUGACCCUUGCCAAGCUUCACCUCUCACACACCCACAGAGAGCAAGCCUGACCUAGUAGGUGACUAUGUCCUAAGUUUGAUCCUAAAAGCUUUUACUUGAUCUUCAUAACAACCCUAUAAAGAAGGAACCAUUAUUAUCUCUAUUUUUAAAAUGAUGGAGCCAUGGCUACAUGGGAUUAAAUAUCUGGCUCAAAGAUCCACAGCUACUGAAUGAGCAGAGUUUGAAUUCUGAAUUCUGACCUGGAUUCUUAACCACUAGGCUACCCUCCCUUCUAUUUGAAGCACUGUCUCACUUUCUCUUUAUGACAACUAUAUGGAGUUGUUCAUCCCACUGACAAUCAAGAGGAGAAAGCUACUUGGAAAGUCACUUGGAAAAACAGUGGGCAAGUCGGAACCCAAACAGCCCCAACAUUGAGCCCAGGGAAGAUAACAGAGCAUGGUCCCCAGCCACUGAGUAUUCAUGCAGCCACACCGUGUGAGGACCCCCAGCCAGCAGGGACUGUGAUGUGUCACAUGGCCCACCCCCUCUGGCAGGGUGGGAGGCGGAGCCAGGCAGGCAGACCAAGAGGAACAAAUUGCAAAGCCUACAGAAGAGACCACCAUGUAAAUACCUGUACACCUUUUAGGUUCAAACUGUGUAUUAAAAUAGCCAAAAUUUGAAACAAACAAACAAACAGACCCUGGCCUGUCAAGUUGUGAAAGUUCAGAGCUGAGCAGAGAAGUGGUUUCAUGCCAACUUUUCAUAGAAAGUGAAAAAGCAGAGGGCAACUUAAUGAAACCAUAACUGAGCUGCUGAGAAAACUUCACUUCUUACUGGAAGGAAAUUAUGCUGGGCUGGAAGCAUCGAUUAUGCAGAGUUGCUUAUUAUUACAUCUUUUCAUCUUCUACAUUGGCUGGAAAGAGCAGGAAUAAGGAAGAUAAGGAAAAAGAAUCUGAGAUCUCCCCAUUCCCAAGCAGCUCGCUUUCAUGAAAGGAACUUUUUUUUAGCUCUAUUGAGGUAUAAUUGAUAAAUAACACUGUAAGAUAUUUAAAGUGUACAAUAUGAUUAUUUGAUAUAUGUACACACUGUGAAAGGAUCCUCCCAUGAGGUUAAUUAACAUGUCUGUCACUGCACAUAGUUACCAAAUUUUUUGGUGAGAACCUUUAAGUUCCACUGUUAGCAAAUUUUGAUUAUAUGAUGCAAUGUUAUCAACUAUAGUCACCAUGUUAUACAUUAGGUCCUCAGACUUUAUUCACCUCAGACUGAAAGUUUUGUACCCUUUUACCAACUUCUCCCUCUUUCCCUCACCCCUGGGCAACCACUUUCUACUCUCUGUUUCUGAGAUGGACCUUUUGUUUUUUAAGUUUAAAAGGAAGUGUUUUUUCAGUUAUCAGUAAGAACCAAGCAGAAGCCAGUUCCAUAUUAACUCAGGAGCUGGACAUAGCCUUGCAGAGACAAAUCUGAAACCAGAAGCGGACGGGCUUAUGAACUCCGGGUCUCAGCAUCUCAUGAGGUGUGUGAUUUCCACUGUCAGCUGGAACUUCCAUCUACUUUGGAUAUUUCUAUCAAAGAGUUUCUCAAAGGCAGGGAUUGUUUUUACUCAUCUUUGUAUCCUUUUGUGCCCACAGAAAGCUCUGAAGCUGAACUGAAAUAGUUGAGAUGGUGGGAGAAGGUGCUUGUUUGAGAUCCAACUAACUGUUCUGUCCCUGAAAAUUGGUCUCUCUGUAUUUUGACUCCUACUUGUAGACUGAAUGGAGCUGCUUGAGAUUUUUUACUGUUACUGUUAAAAAUGUUGACUGUUACUGUCUGUUUACUAACUGUUACUUAUUUGUGACUAUUACUGUCAUUUUAAUAAAAAACUAUGCAC